GCUGUGACUUCCGGUAUUUUGCUUCUCAGGUGAAACGCAUUAUUUCCACUAGUAUAAAGGUAAGGCAGUGCACGUCAAGCCUGGGUUUCUCAUAGUUGCUGUGUCUGUGCUGUGGGGCUUUGCUGCUGGGAGGUGUCGCUUGGAGGGUUGCUAGGCUACGGGUACGCUCUGUACCCCUCCUCUCUCUCUCUCUCUCUCUCUCUCUCUCUCUCUCUCUCUCUCUCUCUCUCUCUCUCUCUCUCUCUCUCAUUGCAGCCACGGGCUGUAUGAGCACCAGCGUAGAGUGUUUUGGGCAGAUGAAUACACUCCUGAAGGUGUGCGGAAUUGGGCGUGCCAGAAUACGGGUGGGUUUGAGUCUGCAUGCCAGAAUACCGGUGUGUUUGAGCGUUGGCGUACCGGAAUACAGGUCCUGGGGAAGCCCUCACUGCCCUAUACUGAUUUAGGUAAACAUACACCCGUAUGAAUGGUAACUUUUAUCUGAAGGUUCUGGUGUGGAUGUCGCCCAAGUUGAAUCUAGGUGGCUUCUAGAGACCUAAAUUAAGGAGCCUUGGAGUGGCGCCACUGCUGUUUUGCCUAUGAUCCAAUUUUGUUGUUUUCUUUUUUUGUUUUUUAC
Long non-coding RNA from Pygocentrus nattereri (red-bellied piranha), 613 nucleotides. RefSeq lists it as uncharacterized. NCBI's taxonomy places the organism in Eukaryota, Metazoa, Chordata, Actinopteri, Characiformes, Serrasalmidae. The transcript is spliced from 3 exons. The record is from RefSeq and is a predicted model, not a curated record.